This 30-nucleotide non-coding RNA is filed under the name Mus musculus (house mouse). The record is from RNAcentral. Lineage: Eukaryota; Metazoa; Chordata; Mammalia; Rodentia; Muridae.
UGAUCCCAGUUUCUGGAAAAAUUCAUCUGC